GACGAACGCUGGCGGCGUGCUUAACACAUGCAAGUCGAACGGAAAGGCCCUGCUUUUGUGGGGUGCUCGAGUGGCGAACGGGUGAGUAACACGUGAGUAACCUGCCCUUGACUUUGGGAUAACUUCAGGAAACUGGGGCUAAUACCGGAUAGGAGCUCCUGCUGCAUGGUGGGGGUUGGAAAGUUUCGGCGGUUGGGGAUGGACUCGCGGCUUAUCAGCUUGUUGGGGGGGUAGUGGCUUACCAAGGCUUUGACGGGUAGCCGGCCUGAGAGGGUGACCGGCCACAUUGGGCCUGAGAUACGGCCCAGACUCCUACGGGAGGCAGCAGUGGGGAAUAUUGCACAAUGGGCGGAAGCCUGAUGCAGCAACGCCGCGUGCGGGAUGACGGCCUUCGGGUUGUAAACCGCUUUCGCCUGUGACGAAGCGUGAGUGACGGUAAUGGGUAAAGAAGCACCGGCUAACUACGUG
This 468-nucleotide ribosomal RNA is filed under the name uncultured bacterium. Its description in RNAcentral is "partial 16S ribosomal RNA". It matches the Rfam family "Bacterial small subunit ribosomal RNA", at positions 28 to 507 of the family's 1533-position model. The record is from RNAcentral.